UCUGGCUCAGGAUGAACGCUAGCGGCAGGCUUAACACAUGCAAGUCGAGGGGUAACAUAGUUGCUUGCAACUGAUGACGACCGGCGCACGGGUGCGUAACGCGUAUAGUACCUACCUUAUAGUAAGGGAUAGCCCAGAGAAAUUUGGAUUAAUACCUUAUAGUAUCCUAAGUGAGCCUUCACUAAGGAUUAAAGAUUUAUCGCUAUAAGAUGGCUAUGCGUUCUAUUAGCUAGUUGGUAUGGUAACGGCAUACCAAGGCUACGAUAGAUAGGGGUCCUGAGAGGGAGAUCCCCCACACUGGUACUGAGACACGGACCAGACUCCUACGGGAGGCAGCAGUGAGGAAUAUUGGACAAUGGAGGCAACUCUGAUCCAGCCAUGCCGCGUGUAGGAAGACUGCCCUAUGGGUUGUAAACUACUUUUAUAGAGGAAGAAACCAUUUCACGUGUGAAAUGCUGACGGUACUCUACGAAUAAGGAUCGGCUAACUCCGUGCCAGCAGCCGCGGUAAUACGGAGGAUCCAAGCGUUAUCCGGAAUCAUUGGGUUUAAAGGGUCCGUAGGCGGUUUAGUAAGUCAGUGGUGAAAGUUUUCGGCUCAACCGGAAAAUUGCCAUUGAUACUGCAAGACUUGAAUUAUUGUGAAGUGGUUAGAAUGUGUAGUGUAGCGGUGAAAUGCAUAGAUAUUACACAGAAUACCGAUUGCGAAGGCAGAUCACUAACAAUUAAUUGACGCUAAGGGACGAAAGCGUGGGUAGCGAACAGGAUUAGAUACCCUGGUAGUCCACGCCGUAAACGAUGGUUACUAGCUGUUUGGACUUCGGUCUGAGUGGCUAAGCGAAAGUGAUAAGUAACCCACU
This 857-nucleotide ribosomal RNA is filed under the name Aquimarina sp. RNAcentral describes it as "bacterial SSU rRNA". It matches the Rfam family "Bacterial small subunit ribosomal RNA", at positions 18 to 873 of the family's 1533-position model. The record is from RNAcentral. Lineage: Bacteria; Pseudomonadati; Bacteroidota; Flavobacteriia; Flavobacteriales; Flavobacteriaceae.